Molecule: ribosomal RNA, 465 nt
Filed under: Vreelandella stevensii
Lineage: Bacteria; Pseudomonadati; Pseudomonadota; Gammaproteobacteria; Oceanospirillales; Halomonadaceae
Description: partial 16S ribosomal RNA
Rfam family: Bacterial small subunit ribosomal RNA
Source: RNAcentral
CCUACGUGUCGCAGCAGUGGGGAAUAUUGGACAAUGGGCGAAAGCCUGAUCCAGCCAUGCCGCGUGUGUGAAGAAGGCCUUCGGGUUGUUAAGCACUUUCAGUGGGGAAGAAAGCCUUGGGGCUAAUACCCUCGAGGAAGGACAUCACCCACAGAAGAAGCACCGGCUAACUCCGUGCCAGCAGCCGCGGUAAUACGGAGGGUGCGAGCGUUAAUCGGAAUUACUGGGCGUAAAGCGCGCGUAGGCGGUCUGAUAAGCCGGUUGUGAAAGCCCCGGGCUCAACCUGGGAACGGCAUCCGGAACUGUCAGGCUAGAGUGCAGGAGAGGAAGGUAGAAUUCCCGGUGUAGCGGUGAAAUGCGUAGAGAUCGGGAGGAAUACCAGUGGCGAAGGCGGCCUUCUGGACUGACACUGACGCUGAGGUGCGAAAGCGUGGGUAGCAAACAGGAUUAGAUACCCUGGUAGUC